Girardinichthys multiradiatus is the source of this 968-nucleotide long non-coding RNA. RefSeq lists it as uncharacterized. The record is from RefSeq and is a predicted model, not a curated record. The transcript has 2 exons. NCBI's taxonomy places the organism in Eukaryota, Metazoa, Chordata, Actinopteri, Cyprinodontiformes, Goodeidae.
UCUGCCAGCGUGGUAAACUGACCAUGUGAUGCGUUCUUGCAUUCCUCCUAAAGCCUGCUCUGAUUGCAUUGUUUUUUCCUGACUUGCAGAUCUGGUCCUGUGUGGCAACACUCUUGGAUUCCUAAGUUCCUGUUCUCCGUAUCAUGGUCAGGGGAGCAUUGGAAACCAUAUCCAGCCGUGAGUCUCCUUUCCAGUCCUGCCUCCAGCCCAGCCGCUCAAGAACCACUUUGUGGGAACACCUACGUAUCGCUCACCUGUCGGUCCACCCUCCCACACCGCACGCUCAAGCACAACAGAGCAACUCCAAGAUCGCACAGAAGGAACAAAAGAACAGUGCUCCGUUCCACAUUAUCUGACAGUCUACCCCAACAAGCCUCCAUCACUCAACAUCAAUACCGUUGGCAGUUCCAGUCGAGGCUUAAACCCUAACUGCUUGCAUAAUCAAACUGUUAAAACGCUGUCCUGUCCUGUCCUUGUGGUUGUGUAACUUCCAGAGUCCAGUAAAUUCAACAUUAUGACUGCAUGGUGCCAUGGGGAUGUUUCACUACCAGUGACACUGGUGCAUUACACAAAGUGGAUAAAGGAAUCAAGAAGGACAUUUGUCUUCAAGUUCUUGUAUGUUACCUCAAAUCAACAACUAAAUGGUUGAAACUUGUACAAGGUUGGUUUCUCCAACAGGACAAUGAUUCCAAACACUUAUCAGAACUGGUUUUGAAAUGGUCUCCCAAAAGUGCUCACCUCAGCCCAGUAUUUAUGGACCAUUCUUGAAAGCUGUCUGUGCCAGGAAACCAGGAGACUCUACUAAUUCAGCCAAAAACCUGGUCAAAUGUAUUCAGAAAGAAGUAUGCCCAAAGAGUAACAUUAAUGCCAUUAAUAAUUAUUAAGGAGUGUAUUUGUAUCUUUAAGGCUGUAUUUUCAUUCUGUGUUAAUCAGAGAAAAUCCACAAUAAAAUCAUAAUUGUGCAUCUA